CACAGCCAUGCAUUCAUCAGGUGGAUGCCGCUUUGGUGGUUGUUCGUGUAAUCGUGUGCGUGUGGCACAUGCAUGCACUGUCAUGUCCACCGUAUCAUGACUAUCCUAAACUAAUCCUCAUCCUGAUCCAAUCCAAAAACCUGCUUGCAGUGGCUAGUAGCUAGCUAGCUAGCUCUACAAAUACUGUACCCGGCCGUGCUUAUUAGCCAGCAGUACAAGCUAGCAGUUACGGUCAUCAAGGAGUUCUUCACAUAUCACUCGGCAUUACCAUUAUCUGAGGUACCUUGACCGCCGCCGCCGACGACGAUGAGCUCCUCGGCGGAAGCGGAGCGCGGCGGCGCCAAGAAGCAGUCAUGGCCAGAGGUGGUCGGACUGAGCGUGGAGGAGGCCAAGAAGGUUAUCCUCAAAGAUAAGCCCGAUGCAGACAUUUUCGUGCUGCCCGUCGGAUCGCCGGUGACCAGGGAUUUCCGUCCGAACCGUGUCCGCAUCUUCGUCGACACCGUCGCCGAGACGCCCCGUGUCGGCUAGCCGAUGCUUUCGUGCUCUUCAGAAACUGAAUAAUUCAGAACGUCUUGCAGAUAGAUCUCCAUAUAUAUGGCAAGAUGAUCAAAUAAUGCAUCUUUUCUGUAUGGAUCCAGACGUGGGUUUCCUAUAAUAAUUAAUUAAAUAAGCAAGGGCACUGACUACUGUUCGCUUGUCUUAUAAAUUGUAUUCUUUUUUACUAA
Molecule: long non-coding RNA, 725 nt
Organism: Sorghum bicolor (sorghum)
Lineage: Eukaryota; Viridiplantae; Streptophyta; Magnoliopsida; Poales; Poaceae
Exons: 2
Source: RefSeq, a predicted model, not a curated record